This 1651-nucleotide long non-coding RNA is filed under the name Monodelphis domestica (gray short-tailed opossum). RNAcentral describes it as "lncRNA (ENSMODG00000042681.1)". The record is from RNAcentral. Lineage: Eukaryota; Metazoa; Chordata; Mammalia; Didelphimorphia; Didelphidae.
GCGGAGUGGGCAGGGCCGGGCUGGAGGGGGCGGGGUGACUAAAGGAGCAUGGAAAUUCAAGGAACUGGGGGAUUCAAGUUGCCGGUACUGGAAGCGCCAGGAGGACCGGGCUGUAAGAAGACUGGGCUGAGUUCUGCACUUCGGGGUGGAACUAGUCGGACCCAAGAUUAAAGAGCAUAGCAGGAAAAGGGAAGACUAUUUUGCUGAUGAAAGAUUAAAGCGGGCCUGUACUGGGCGGAGCGAUGCAGCGGUGAGAGGAUCAUCAGUCUAUUGGCUGAUGAAGUUUGCUUGAGAACAGCUGCAGUAGUCUUUCCACGGUCUGAGGACGGAAGCAAUCUCGAUGUCUCCAUCUCUCUGUCUCUGGCUUCUCCUGUGUUCUCUUAGUAACCUCACAGGCACCAUUGUCUCAGCAGUGGAGAUAUCCUCUCUGAAUGGGACCGUGGGAAAAUCUAUCCUGCUCUGUAUAGCCACAGAUUAUGGAAAUGAGACUCGGUCAAUUGAAUGGAUUGAUAAGACUCGCAAUCAACUCCUGUUCAAGAUCCAGCCAGGAGAAAGUGAGUCAAACUGGACUACCGCCCAGGACACAUACAAAGGGAGGCUGUCUGUACAUGAUAUGCGUUGUCUGAAGAUUGAGAAUCUGACCUCUGAAGACAGUGGUCUCUAUGAAGUAGAAAUCAAGUUGAACACUGGAGAAAUAAAACCUCAGAUCUUCAACGUGACUGUGUCUGGCACUGUGACUACAGGAUCCAACAUGAAACCACGGAAUUACUGGAUCUCAAUUGGCAUCCCAGUGGGUAUAGUCUGUGUUGUCCUCCUAGGGAUCGGAGUCCUGCUGUGUAAAGGAAAAAGGAAGAGACUUAAGCUGAAAGAAGAUGGAAGCAUCAGAUCCCAAAGCACAAUUUCUUACAAAGAUGCAGAAAUGGAAGGUCAUCCUAAACAGUGUAUUUGUGAUUUCAGUGUAUUUUCAAACAAAGUGUGUGAUGCUCUGGCAGAUGUAUGAUUUUGGAUUACUGUGUUGUAUAAGAGUUAUUAAGGGGGGCAGCUGGGUAGCUCAGUGGAUUGAGAGCCAGGCCUAGAGCUGGGAGGUCCUAGGUUAAAAUCUGGCCUCAGACACUUCCUAGCUGUGUGACCCUGGGCAAGUCACUUAACCCCUAUUGCCUAGCCCUUACCACUCUUCUGCCUUGGAACCAAUGCACAGUAUUUAGGGUUAAGCCACAUUUCUCCUGCCAAGGCUUUUCACCUACCCACCCACCCUCACAAAGCCACUUCUCCUGAUUCCUCUUGCUCCUGCUGCUAAAUUCCAUCAGCUUGCUUCUACUCUUGCUCCUGCUCCUGUUCCUGCUACUACUGUCUGAUCCUGCCUUCUGAGUUGUCCCAGCCAUCCACUCCUGACCUUCUCGACCCAGAUCGCUCACAGGCCCCAGCCCCAGCCCUGGUCCCACUGGUAAAAACUGAGGUGCUCUUUCCAUAGACAACAAUUAGCCUUCAUGUGGCAGGGGACCAUAGGGGGAGAAGGGGAGAAGGAAGUCACUCUUCCAAAUGGCAUAUUCUAUGAAAGAGCAGGACCUUGCCUAUUUCAAACAGCUUCCAAUGGAAUACUAUUGUGCUCAAAGGAAUAAUAAAGUGGAGGAAUUCCAUGGGGACUGGAACA